RNAcentral lists this long non-coding RNA (2156 nucleotides) under Bos indicus x Bos taurus (hybrid cattle). RNAcentral describes it as "lncRNA (ENSBIXG00000009026.1)". The record is from RNAcentral. Lineage: Eukaryota; Metazoa; Chordata; Mammalia; Artiodactyla; Bovidae.
CCCCUUGAGUCUCUGACAACAUAGCCUCCCACAGUCGCUGGAAACUGCCCAUACCUGCCCAAGCAAAAUUCAGCCAACAGCUGCCAUGAGAUUUAUUUUCUCUUCCCUCUUUGGUUCCAACUCCGGGCUCCCCCUUGCAGGAUGGAAGGUGGGGGUAGGAGAUUAGUCACUAUCUGCAAUCUUCACACCUUUUAUAUUUGUAUCGUUUUCUUGCCUUUAACCCUCUCACAUCCACAAAGUACCCUAGUUCGCCAUCCCUUGGCCCUCGCCGAAACCUAGUUUGGAGGAAGACGCUCAAGUGGGAAAACAGCAGCGUUGGAUGUUGUGACACAGACGGGGACACCGCUGCGGUCCUUUGAGCAGAGGUCUGCCGGGGUACUAGGGAUGCGCGCGCGGGAUGCCAGACUCGGCGGCGGAGCGAACAGUGCGCACGCGCGCCGCCUGCAGCUCCGCGCGCCCCCGGGUCUGCAGGCCGGGCGCUCGCCGCGCGCCUCUCGCGCCGAGGCCCCGCUCCCGCCCCGAGCGCCGAGGCCCCGCCCCCUACCCGAGCGACCGCCCCGCCCCCGUGAGAGGGCGGUGGGGCGCAGCGAGCGUGCGCGCGGCCCGCCCCGGGCGCGGGCGGAGGAGAGAAGGAAGGGUGCGCGCGGCGGCCAGCCCGCAGACGCCGGGAGCCGCGCAGCAGAGAAGAACGCUGGCCGCGAGCCUGGGCGAGCCGAUCUGAUUUGUAUCCAGUCUGAUCAGCACUCCCUCACAUAAGCCUUUCCAGACCCAGGACUCCAGAGGAACCAGGCACCUCACAAGAAGGCGACUGUAACUUCCGAUUCCUUGGUGGAGGAAAACACCCCCUUCUGGUCUUGCUUCCAAUGAUGCAAGUGUGAUUGCUGGUGUCUUCAUGAGCUCCAGAGGUCACAGCACGCUCCCCCGGACUCUCAUGGCCCCCCGGAUGAUUUCUGAGGGAGACCUGGGAGGCAUUGCGCAGAUCACCUCCUCGCUCUUCCUGGGCAGAGGCAGCGUAGCCUCCAACCGGCACCUCCUCCAGGCUCGCGGCAUCACCUGCAUUGUGAACGCUACCAUCGAGAUCCCCAAUUUCAACUGGCCCCAGUUUGAAUACGUUAAAGUGCCUCUGGCGGACAUGCCUCACGCCCCCAUUGGACUGUACUUUGACACCGUGGCCGACAAGAUCCACAGCGUGAGCCGGAAACACGGGGCCACCCUGGUGCACUGUGCUGCGGGGGUCAGCCGCUCGGCCACGCUCUGCAUCGCGUACCUGAUGAAAUUCCACAACGUGUGCCUGCUGGAGGCCUACAACUGGGUGAAAGCCCGGAGGCCCGUCAUCAGGCCCAACGUCGGCUUCUGGAGGCAGCUGAUAGACUACGAGCGGCAGCUUUUUGGGAAGUCGACAGUUAAGAUGGUACAGACACCGUACGGCAUAGUGCCGGACGUUUACGAGAAGGAGUCCCGACACCUGCUGCCUUACUGGGGGAUCUGAGCCACCGGAGCCCGCAGCAGCAGCCCCUCGAGCGGUACCAGCAUCUGCUACACGCCGUCUGCUCCCCUCCUCACCUCUCUUUCCAAAUGGUGGACAAAUGCUCCUCCCUGAAGUGUUUUUUUUUUUUUACACUGGGUGUUCAUGUUUUAUUUUGAGAGAGAGGGAGGGGAGGGGAGGAAGACACGGGGAAUGCUCACAUUGCUACUAACAUUUUUAAAACUAACAUUUUGGAAUAGUGUUUAUGAAAAUCUUGAACUGGCUUUUAAACAGUUUCAAGUUUCAACAUUUUUAACAAUUUCAACAGUUUAAUAAACUGUUUGGUUCUGCUGUGUUCUCAACCCCAUGCCUCUUGGCAUCGUGGGAGGAGCUCAGUGCAAAAAUCACUUUGGACCCCCAUUAACCCUUUAGGUACAGGCUUUGCCCAGGCUGCCAACCAAACAAAUGCUUAGGGAACACUGAUACCAGCAUCAGUCUCCACUGGAUCAGCCCUACUCUUUUCCUUUCCUUCUAUUAUUUAGUGACUCUGUAAGUUUAAAAAAAAAAAAGCCUUUAUUAUUUAGCUGUUAAAUAAUUAUAAUGCAAUCUGCUGCAAACACCCUCUUGGAAUCAGUGUGCCCCAGGAGUAUAUUAGCAUUAUUUUUAAUAAAUACAUCUGCUUAACAUAUUG